Long non-coding RNA from Lotus japonicus, 583 nucleotides. RefSeq lists it as uncharacterized. NCBI's taxonomy places the organism in Eukaryota, Viridiplantae, Streptophyta, Magnoliopsida, Fabales, Fabaceae. The record is from RefSeq and is a predicted model, not a curated record. The transcript has 3 exons.
ACUCCUCUCUCUCUCUCACUCUGAUACUCAAGCUCUCACCCUCUCACGAAUCACAUUCACGCUCACCCUCACCCUCUCGCACCCUCAUCACGGCACGGCGGCACUACCACCAGCCACCACCACGCCACGACCACGCCACCGGCCACCCGUCCAGUUCUCCUUUCUCUUCUAAAACUUGAUUUUCCCAAGCAACCAUGAAUAUGAUUUUCCCUACAUCUGUAAUUCCUAAUCCUAAAUCCUAAAAUUGUCAUACUCACUCAGUCAUAGAGUCUCCAUCUUGGCUUGUAAUUCUAAAUCCUAUUCCUACUCCUUCAAACCUCGCCUCGCCUUCCCUUCCCUUCGUAUGCAGGGUGUCCUAAGCAGGAGAGUCUGCACCAGUGGAUCAAACCACCAAGAGAAACAAACACGACAACUUUACUCAAAAGUCAAAACCUUAAGACAAUGGGAACCAGCUAGUGUACUAGAAGAACGUGCAAAGUCUCCAUCAUCAACAAGUUUGGCAAGCCCAAAAUCAGCUAUGUAUGGUUCAAAUUCAGGGCCUAUGAGGAUGUUGUUGGCCUUAAUGUCCCUGUGAACAAUGGGA